GAGGAGUCUGAGCCCCAGUGGUUCCCUU
Molecule: non-coding RNA, 28 nt
Filed under: Rattus norvegicus (Norway rat)
Lineage: Eukaryota; Metazoa; Chordata; Mammalia; Rodentia; Muridae
Source: RNAcentral